UGCAGUCGAGCGGCAGCACGAGAGAUCUUGCUCCUUGGCGGCGAGUGGCGAACGGGUGAUGACUAUAUCUCAGCAUGCCCAGUAGCGGGGGAUAACUACUCGAAAGAGUGGCUAAUACCGCAUACGUCCUACAGGAGAAAGCAGGGGACCUUCGGGCCUUGCACUAUUGGAGUGGCCGAUAUCGGAUUAGCUGGUGGUGGGGUAAAGGCCUACCAAGGCGACGAUCCGUGGCUGGUUUGAGAGGACGACCACCCUCACUGGGACUGACACACGGCCCUCACUCCUACGGGAGGCAGCAGUGGGGAAUUUUGGACAAUGGGGGAAACCCUGAUCCAUCCAUCCCGCGUGUGCAAUGAAUGCCUUCUGGUUGUAAAUCUCUUUUGUCAGGAAAGAAAUCGCCCGGGAUAAUACCUCGGGUGGAUGACGGUACCUGAAAAAUAACCACCGGCUACCUACGUGCCACCACCCGCGUUAAUACGUAGGGUGCAAUCGUUAAUCUUAAUUACUGGGCGUAAAGCGUGCGCGGGCGGUUCGGAAAGAUGUAUGUGAAAUCCCAGGGCUUAACCUUGUAACUGCAUUUUUAACUACCGGGCUAGAGUGUGUCAGAGGGGGGUGGAAUUCCGCGUGUAGCAGUGACAUGCGUAUAUAUGCGGAACGAACACCGAUGGCGAAGAGCAGCCCGCCUCUGAUACUGACUGACGACUGCAUGCAACGAAAUGCGUGAGCGAGCAAAGCAUGUGAUAUACCUCAUCGCCUGGUCACGAUCGCACGUCCCAUCAGAUCGUAUGAUCUACCUCGCUG
This 801-nucleotide ribosomal RNA is filed under the name Bordetella sp. RNAcentral's name for it is "bacterial SSU rRNA". It matches the Rfam family "Bacterial small subunit ribosomal RNA". The record is from RNAcentral. Lineage: Bacteria; Pseudomonadati; Pseudomonadota; Betaproteobacteria; Burkholderiales; Alcaligenaceae.